GCAGGCUGAAAUUCGCCUGCAUGAAGCCGGAAUUGCUAGUAAUGGCAGGUCAGCAUACUGCCGUGAAUACGUUCCCGGGCCUUGUACACACCGCCCGUCACACCAUGAGAGUUGGGGAUACCCAAAGCCCGUGAGCCAACUUUUUAAGAGGCAGCGGUCUAAGGUAGAAUCAAUGAUUGGGGUGAAGUCGUAACAAGGUAGC
Molecule: ribosomal RNA, 202 nt
Filed under: uncultured bacterium
Lineage: Bacteria
Description: partial 16S ribosomal RNA
Rfam family: Bacterial small subunit ribosomal RNA
Source: RNAcentral